This 244-nucleotide ribosomal RNA is filed under the name uncultured bacterium. Its description in RNAcentral is "partial 16S ribosomal RNA". It matches the Rfam family "Bacterial small subunit ribosomal RNA", at positions 15 to 249 of the family's 1533-position model. The record is from RNAcentral.
GAUCCUGGCUCAGGAUGAACGCUAGCUACAGGCUUAACACAUGCAAGUCGAGGGGCAGCAUUCCAGUUUGCUUGCAAACUGGAGAUGGCGACCGGCGCACGGGUGAGUAACACGUAUCCAACCUGCCGAUAACUCGGGGAUAGCCUUUCGAAAGAAAGAUUAAUACCCGAUGGCAUAAUAGAACCGCAUGGUUUGAUUAUUAAAGAAUUUCGGUUAUCGAUGGGGAUGCGUUCCAUUAGGCAGG